RNAcentral lists this ribosomal RNA (273 nucleotides) under uncultured bacterium. RNAcentral's name for it is "partial 16S ribosomal RNA". It matches the Rfam family "Bacterial small subunit ribosomal RNA", at positions 524 to 796 of the family's 1533-position model. The record is from RNAcentral.
UACGGAGGGGGUUAGCGUUGUUCGGAAUUACUGGGCGUAAAGCGCACGUAGGCGGACUAUUAAGUCGAGGGUGAAAUCCCGGGGCUCAACCCCGGAACUGCCUUCGAUACUGGUAGUCUUGAGUUCGAGAGAGGUGAGUGGAAUUCCGAGUGUAGAGGUGAAAUUCGUAGAUAUUCGGAGGAACACCAGUGGCGAAGGCGGCUCACUGGCUCGAUACUGACGCUGAGGUGCGAAAGUGUGGGGAGCAAACAGGAUUAGAUACCCGUGUAGUCC